This 728-nucleotide ribosomal RNA is filed under the name uncultured Streptococcaceae bacterium. Its description in RNAcentral is "bacterial SSU rRNA". It matches the Rfam family "Bacterial small subunit ribosomal RNA", at positions 67 to 780 of the family's 1533-position model. The record is from RNAcentral. Lineage: Bacteria; Bacillati; Bacillota; Bacilli; Lactobacillales; Streptococcaceae.
CUGAAGCUUGGUGCUUGCACCGAGCGGAUGAGUUGCGAACGGGUGAGUAACGCGUAGGUAACCUGCCUCUUAGCGGGGGAUAACUAUUGGAAACGACAGCUAAUACCGCAUAAAAGACGAUAUCGCAUGAUAUUGAUUUGAAAGGUGCAAAUGCAUCACUAAGAGAUGGACCUGCGUUGUAUUAGCUAGUUGGUGAGGUAACGGCUCACCAAGGCAACGAUACAUAGCCGACCUGAGAGGGUGAUCGGCCACACUGGGACUGAGACACGGCCCAGACUCCUACGGGAGGCAGCAGUAGGGAAUCUUCGGCAAUGGGGGCAACCCUGACCGAGCAACGCCGCGUGAGUGAAGAAGGUUUUCGGAUCGUAAAGCUCUGUUGUAAGAGAAGAACGAGUGUGAGAGUGGAAAGUUCACACUGUGACGGUAACUUACCAGAAAGGGACGGCUAACUACGUGCCAGCAGCCGCGGUAAUACGUAGGUCCCGAGCGUUAUCCGGAUUUAUUGGGCGUAAAGCGAGCGCAGGCGGUUAGAUAAGUCUGAAGUUAAAGGCUGUGGCUUAACCAUAGUACGCUUUGGAAACUGUUUAACUUGAGUGCAGAAGGGGAGAGUGGAAUUCCAUGUGUAGCGGUGAAAUGCGUAGAUAUAUGGAGGAACACCGGUGGCGAAAGCGGCUCUCUGGUCUGUAACCGACGCUGAGGCUCGAAAGCGUGGGGAGCAAACAGGAUUA